This 69-nucleotide transfer RNA is filed under the name Rattus norvegicus (Norway rat). It matches the Rfam family "tRNA". Rfam says of the family: Transfer RNA (tRNA) molecules are approximately 80 nucleotides in length. Their secondary structure includes four short double-helical elements and three loops (D, anti-codon, and T loops). Further hydrogen bonds mediate the characteristic L-shaped molecular structure. tRNAs have two regions of fundamental functional importance: the anti-codon, which is responsible for specific mRNA codon recognition, and the 3' end, to which the tRNAs corresponding amino acid is attached (by aminoacyl-tRNA synthetases). tRNAs cope with the degeneracy of the genetic code in two manners: having more than one tRNA (with a specific anti-codon) for a particular amino acid; and 'wobble' base-pairing, i.e. permitting non-standard base-pairing at the 3rd anti-codon position. The record is from Rfam by way of RNAcentral. Lineage: Eukaryota; Metazoa; Chordata; Mammalia; Rodentia; Muridae.
GGGGAUUUAGCUCAGUGGUAGAGCGCUUGCCUAGCAAGUGCAAGGCCCUGGGUUCGGUUCCCAGUUCCG